UGAGCAGUCGCCAAGCGGUUAAGGCACUGGACUUUGACUCCAGUAUCGUGGGUUCAAUUCCCACCUGCUCAGCCA
Molecule: transfer RNA, 75 nt
Filed under: Ruminococcus bromii
Lineage: Bacteria; Bacillati; Bacillota; Clostridia; Eubacteriales; Oscillospiraceae
Also listed under: 4 other names
Description: tRNA-Gln
Rfam family: tRNA
About the family: Transfer RNA (tRNA) molecules are approximately 80 nucleotides in length. Their secondary structure includes four short double-helical elements and three loops (D, anti-codon, and T loops).
Source: RNAcentral